UGGGGAAUAUUGGACAAUGGGCGAAAGCCUGAUCCAGCCAUGCCGCGUGAGUGAUGAAGGCCCUAGGGUUGUAAAGCUCUUUCGCCGGUGAAGAUAAUGACGGUAACCGGUAAAGAAGCCCCGGCUAACUUCGUGCCAGCAGCCGCGGUAAUACGAAGGGGGCUAGCGUUGUUCGGAAUUACUGGGCGUAAAGCGCGCGUAGGCGGGUCAUUAAGUCAGGGGUGAAAUCCCGGGGCUCAACCUCGGAAUUGCCUCUGAUACUGGUGACCUCGAGUCCGAGAGAGGUGAGUGGAACUCCGAGUGUAGAGGUGAAAUUCGUAGAUAUUCGGAAGAACACCAGUGGCGAAGGCGGCUCACUGGCUCGGUACUGACGCUGAGGUGCGAAAGCGUGGGGAGCAAACAGGAUUAGAUACCCCCGUAGUCC
This 424-nucleotide ribosomal RNA is filed under the name uncultured prokaryote. RNAcentral describes it as "bacterial SSU rRNA". It matches the Rfam family "Bacterial small subunit ribosomal RNA", at positions 355 to 796 of the family's 1533-position model. The record is from RNAcentral.